CCUACGGGGGGCAGCAGUCGAGAAUUAUUCACAAUGGGGGAAACCCUGAUGGUGCGACGCCGCGUGGGGGAAUGAAGGUCUUCGGAUUGUAAACCCCUGUCAUGUGGGAGCAAAUUAAAAAGAUAGUACCACAAGAGGAAGAGACGGCUAACUCUGUGCCAGCAGCCGCGGUAAUACAGAGGUCUCAAGCGUUGUUCGGAAUCACUGGGCGUAAGGCGUGCGUAGGCUGUUUCGUAAGUCGUGUGUGAAAGGCGCGGGCUCAACCCGCGGACGGCACAUGAUACUGCGAGACUAGAGUAAUGGAGGGGGAACCGGAAUUCUCGGUGUAGCAGUGAAAUGCGUAGAUAUCGAGAGGAACACUCGUGGCGAAGGCGGGUUCCUGGACAUUAACUGACGCUGAGGCACGAAGGCCAGGGGAGCGAAAGGGAUUAGAUACCCCAGUAGUC
This 446-nucleotide ribosomal RNA is filed under the name uncultured bacterium. RNAcentral's name for it is "partial 16S ribosomal RNA". It matches the Rfam family "Bacterial small subunit ribosomal RNA", at positions 338 to 795 of the family's 1533-position model. The record is from RNAcentral.